Molecule: ribosomal RNA, 460 nt
Filed under: uncultured bacterium
Lineage: Bacteria
Description: partial 16S ribosomal RNA
Rfam family: Bacterial small subunit ribosomal RNA
Source: RNAcentral
CCUACGGGUGGCAGCAGUGAGGAAUAUUGGUCAAUGGACAAGAGUCUGAACCAGCCAAGUAGCGUGAAGGAUGACUGCCCUAUGGGUUGUAAACUUCUUUUAUAUGGGAAUAAAAUGUUCCACGUGUGGGAUUUUGUAUGUACCAUAUGAAUAAGGAUCGGCUAACUCCGUGCCAGCAGCCGCGGUAAUACGGAUGAUCCGAGCGUUAUCCGGAUUUAUUGGGUUUAAAGGGAGCGUAGGUGGAUUGUUAAGUCAGUUGUGAAAGUUUGCGGCUCAACCGUAAAAUUGCAGUUGAAACUGGCAGUCUUGAGUACAGUAGAGGUGGGCGGAAUUCGUGGUGUAGCGGUGAAAUGCUUAGAUAUCACGAAGAACUCCGAUUGCGAAGGCAGUUCACUGGACUGCAACUGACACUGAGGCUCGAAAGUGUGGGUAUCAAACAGGAUUAGAUACCCGAGUAGUC